This 497-nucleotide ribosomal RNA is filed under the name uncultured bacterium. RNAcentral describes it as "partial 16S ribosomal RNA". It matches the Rfam family "Bacterial small subunit ribosomal RNA", at positions 28 to 507 of the family's 1533-position model. The record is from RNAcentral.
GAUGAACGCUGGCGGCGUGCCUAAUACAUGCAAGUCGAGCGAACAGACGAGGAGCUUGCUCCUCUGACGUUAGCGGCGGACGGGUGAGUAACACGUGGAUAACCUACCUAUAAGACUGGGAUAACUUCGGGAAACCGGAGCUAAUACCGGAUAAUAUAUUGAACCGCAUGGUUCAAUAGAGAAAGACGGUUUUGCUGUCACUUAUAGAUGGAUCCGCGCCGCAUUAGCUAGUUGGUAAGGUAACGGCUUACCAAGGCAACGAUGCGUAGCCGACCUGAGAGUGUGAUCGGCCACACUGGAACUGAGACACGGUCCAGACUCCUACGGGAGGCAGCAGUAGGGAAUCUUCCGCAAAGGGCGAAAGCCUGACGGAGCAACGCCGCGUGAGUGAUGAAGGUCUUCGGAUCGUAAAACUCUGUUAUUAGGGAAGAACAAAUGUGUAAGUAACUAUGCACGUCUUGACGGUACCUAAGCAGAAAGCAACGGCUAACUACGUG